GACGAACGCUGGCGGCGUGCCUAACACAUGCAAGUCGAGCGGAGAUACAUUGAAGAGCAAUCAGAUAUGUAUCUUAGCGGCGGACGGGUGAGUAACGCGUGGGCAACCUGCCUCAUACUGGGGGAUAACACAGGGAAACUUGUGCUAAUACCGCAUAAUAUCAUUAUAGGGCAUCCUGUGAUGAUCAAAGGAGCAAUCCGGUGUGAGAUGGGCCCGCGUCCAAUUAGCUAGUUGGUGAGGUAACGGCCCACCAAGGCGACGAUUGGUAGCCGAACUGAGAGGUUGAUCGGCCACAUUGGGACUGAGACACGGCCCAGACUCCUACGGGAGGCAGCAGUGGGAAUAUUGCGCAAUGGGGGAAACCCUGACGCAGCAACGCCGCGUGAAGGAUGAAGGUCUUCGGAUUGUAAACUUCUUUGAUGAGGGACGAACACAAUGACGGUACCUCAAAAACAAGCCACGGCUAACUACGUGCC
RNAcentral lists this ribosomal RNA (476 nucleotides) under uncultured bacterium. RNAcentral's name for it is "bacterial SSU rRNA". It matches the Rfam family "Bacterial small subunit ribosomal RNA", at positions 28 to 509 of the family's 1533-position model. The record is from RNAcentral.